Non-coding RNA from Pelobates cultripes (western spadefoot toad), 29489 nucleotides. The record is from the annotation of a GenBank genome assembly. Lineage: Eukaryota; Metazoa; Chordata; Amphibia; Anura; Pelobatidae.
GUUUUCUAUUCUGUGUCUGGUUUUCUUUAUGCUGUGUUUUCUGGGUUCAUUCCUUUAUUCCAUUCCUGGAAUUCCCAGUCUCCUGGAUUCCUUUAUGUUUGUUUUAUGUUGCCACUCCCUUUCAUUUUUCAUUAUUCCUUUUGUUUCAGUUGGUUCCUGCAGGCAGUUGUUUCAUGUCCUCUGCCCUUCCUUUGCAGGUAAGUGCUGUGUGUGUUUUAUUAUUGUUUAUUUAGUCAUGCAUAUCUAGGCAGUUAGGACCACCAUUCUUGGAGUACUUUGGUGCAGUGGUGGGCUGCAUACAUAUUGGCCAUUUAUGUAUGUCUAAAUCUCCAAUGUUUUACAUAAAUAGUACUUAGUUUUGUCUCCUCUUGUUUUGCCUUAUAUCUCUUGUCUUGUUUUAUUUUGUAUUCCCAGUCCAUAUACAGUCCUGUCCUGUCCUGCCCUGCCCAUGUUCUGUUAAUGUUUAUUGUGUACAUAUUCUGGGUCCUGCUUUCUAUCCUACUCUGGUUCUGGGUUCUUCUAGUUUUGUCUUGUUUGGUGCCUAUUCUAGUCUUACCUUGUUUCAAGUACUGGAUACAUCUCAGCAUAUCAUCUGCUCCUCGCAUCCAUAUAAGCUGCAACUGGGUUCUGGUUUGUGGCCGCACAAAUGCUGGUGCUCAACACCAGGGGGCGUGUGGCUACCCUGCACCAGGCCCUUCUUAUCCACUUCCACGCUGAAGACUCCGCUCAUCUUCUACGUCAGGCACAGGGGUCCCGGUCUUCAGACUGCCACCCUGACACAUUUGUUAUGAGAAAAGGCUAGAAAAACUGGAAUUUAUUAAGACACGGAGGCUCCUAUUAUGCUGCACUCUUUCUUUAUUUCCCUCAGCAGCAAAGAAAAAUAACAUUAAAUCGGUAUAAAAGAAACCGGUAAAUAACAUGAGAGGUAUAUCUUCCUAGCAACAGGAACAGCCAAUCAGCAUCCUCUUCAUAGCAUAAUAGGCGGUGUCCAGUAUACUACUACCUCUUUCUUUGCUGCUCCCUCAGUUAUGUGACACUGGGUCCCACGGUUCUUAACUGUGGGAUCUUUUACUUUAUACAUUACUGUCAGGACUUACCUGAAGGAAGGUAUUCGCCCAGUGAUAAAUUUGAGACAGUGGUUAUGAGGCAUAUCAGCACUUCCAAGAUGGAAGGAGGGCGUUGCUUAAGGGAUCUUCUUCAACCAGCAGAUUGGAUGGCCAAAUUGGAUCUGCAGUGAAAGACUGCAUUUAACAUCCUGCAGUGAAACACCUACCACCUUCAGGUACUGACUGAAGCUUGGAAGAUACUCCACCCCAUAUAUUCCUGGAUUGCUAACGUAUUCUCAGGUGUUACUAUAGAUUUGUUACCAUUUAUACCACUGUAUACCAUUUUCCACUGUAAUUUUUCUGUGCAUGCCGUUUGUACUAUGGUCAUUUAAUGUUUCUGACCAAUAUUCCAUGUAGACAGUUAUUAAUAUUUUGGGCGAUAGAAUUUGGUUGCUAAACUUUUCAAUAGUAUAGAACACAUGGCUACCCUAACCCCCCUCCCUUUUCCCCUCUCUCCCUCUCCCUUUCUCCUCCCCAGUUGUAAAUACCUUCAUAUGACUGUUCCAUCUCAUUCUCUGUUAUUCAGGCUUCACAUCACUCUGAACUCAGUAAAAGACUGCAUUUUUUCUCCCCACUUCCCACCUACCCUCCCCUCCUCCUGCCCACCCAGGCUCCCCCUAAAUAUAUAGCAUGCCUCUCCAGCUGUUUGAGAUUCUCACUCAAUUACCUCUUCAUUCCCUUUAUAUCUUACCAAUUGCUGCUUCUCUGUAAAAUCUUCCAGCCAUGACAUCCAAACUACCCCUGCUACCUCUUGUCAAUAAUCCCCCUGGUAUCCUUUAGAUUGUAAGCUCACGGGCCAUCUAGCCAAGCACUUUGUAUAAAAGAGCUCCAAUGGCUAGAUAUCAGCUUACGGACAGGGCUCUCUCUACCUCUUGUAUUUGUCUGUGUAUAUUGUAUGUUUCUCCACUAAUUGUACAGCGCUGCGGAAUCUGUUGGCGCUUUAUAAAUAGCAGUAGUAAAUAAAUAUCUCACAGUGCCUAUCGCAGUCCAACAUCAAGAUUCCAUCAAGAUCGAGAACUUCCUGCAGUUUACAUGGUAGGGCAGGAAAUGGAGGUUCAGGUGGCUCCUUUUCGGACUGUCUUUGGCUCCAUGGUGCUUCACCAAGCGCAUGAAACCUAUGGUCGCCCUGCUACGGAGUCGGGGAGUAUGUCUUAUAAUGUAUUUAGACUGCAUUUUCAUUCUGGCUCAGUCUAUUCAAUUAAUCCAGACAUACCUUUCAUGGACUUUGACUCUGUUAGAGAACCUAGGAUUCCUGAUCAAUUGGGAGAAAUCCAUUAUCGUUCCCACGCAACAAAUCAACUUUCUGGGUUAUAUUGGAUUAUUGUACAUUCUACCCUUCAAACUCUAUAAUUUCUGGUGGCAAAAUCAGCCAAUAUCAAGAAGGAUAUAGGCGAACACUAGCAACCUCUCAACUCUCUCUCAAACAACUGUUGAGAAUGUUAGGCCUUCUAGCGGCAUUUAUACAGGCCAUUUUUCCAGGUCUUCUUGGCUAUCGAGUCCUACAAAAGAUUAAAAACUUAAUCUCAAGGGCAGUGCAUCGUAAAAAGAUAUUGUAACUCUGGACUCAGAAGCGAAGGAUGAACUCCAUUGAUGGCUUCUUCACAUGGAAGCUUGGAAUGAACGCACCAUAUUCUGUACAGCUCCAGAUUUGAUAAUCAAAUCUGAUGCAAGUUUGCAUGGUUGGGGCGCUCAAUGUGGAAAUAUUUCCACCAAGGGCAGAUGAUCGGACCAGGAAUCGACACUUCACAUGAAUUGUUUGGAACUUCUGGCCCGUUCCUUUGCAGUCCGCAGUUUCUCCCCAACUGAAGCCCAAUGGACAUCUGGAACCCAUGGGGUCUAUUGGAAAUAGAUCUUUUCGCUUCUUGUUUGAAUGACUAGAUCUGACAGCACUGGCUACGAAUUUUUCUCAGAUUGGUCUUCUUCAAGGAAUUACGAUUUUCCGCCCUUUGCACUGAUUCCCUGUUGCCUUUGCAUCUACGUCGCCAAUCCGGCAACUGGUAAUCGUGGUGUGGUAAAUUACCAAACAACUUAUUUAAACUUAGAAGCCACACAAUUUAACACUUAAGAAAACAAUUAAAAUAGAUUAAAUUUCAUUCUAGUUAGUUGCAACAAGAGAGAGACAAUACAGCACAUGGGCAAUUAAAAAUGGCCAAAACAUCAAAGGUUCCAGUGCAGUGAAACUAUUCAAUUUUCCCCUUUUAUCACCAAUACUUUAAAACUGUACAGAAACAAAGGUAAACCUAUAAAUGCUACAGUUUGCAACAAAAUAUGUUCUGUCAGUCACAAUACACAAAUUGAAAACAGUCAACAAAACACAUAUGUAUAUUUGUUUCAACAAAAUGAAUCCUAUGCUAUAAAGUAUCUUGCUCUUACAUCAUGUAUCAAUAUGGUAGUUAUUGCACCUCACAAACAUUUGUUGUGAGGUGUCUAAAACUGAUGGUCGCCAAAAUGUGGUAAAUUACCAAACUCUAUAAAUUAUUAUGUACGCAUACACAUAUAAAUUAUGGUCCGUCAACUUUAACAAAUAUUUAUUCAGAGACAAAAGAACAACAUACAAAUAAUGACACACAAUCUAACUAACUUAACACCAGCAACAACAAUCUAACCAACAAUAACAACUAAAUCUUAUAAAAUCACCAGAUCCCACUCACAGUUCAAUAUUAUAAAAAUUAACCCAUAUCUGCUAAAAGAUCUGCUCAGCAGCACAGCCAAGAAGGAACCGGAAGGAAUCUGGGUAGGGGGAAGUGGUUAUCUCUUUCCUGACUUGUAAAGGUAUUGAAUUACCCAAUUACCAUAUCAAAUGGUAAAGCUUCUCCCACUGUAAGAAAGGCAUACAUGAGCUUGGUCACAUGACCCCUGGUCACCAUAUUAGUUUGAUGACAGAAUGUCACCACAUUCCCUCACUUUUUUUUCUCUUAUGUUGAGCACAUUUAAAAGUGUGAGAAUAUAGUCAAACAGGGGUUGCAUCACCCCACAUUCCCCCAAUUUCUAUUGUUUUCAGUUGUUCUGUUUUUAAAUUAACCACUGCCCUAGUGGGUUGGUAAGAACCCUGGUAGUUGUUCAUUAAUAUUAUAUGGUAAUGUGUUCAUGUGAAGUAGUAAAAUCUAGACACAAUCAACCCCAUACAGUAAUUAUCACUAGUUUAUGACACAAUAUGAUGUUUAGUUUCACUGGGACUGGAAUCUGAAGACUGUGACUGAUCUGUGUGCUUGAUAGCUGUGAUUUUAGAAUGAACUCUCCUUGAAUAUUGUCUUUGCCAAUCCAUUACAAAGCUUGAGGUUUGUAGGUUUAAUGACACAUGCAAGUUCAUGAGUGUAGGGUAAACUCAUUCUGUGACCACCUUGAAAUGACACAAAUUCCUGCUUCUUGCUGUGUUACUUAACCCUCAUUCUGGGCUGUGUCAAUAGUUUGACUUGGUAAUCUCAGCACUUCUACACUUGUAUAGUAUCCAUUUUCAGGAUAAUAGCUUGAUGUGUAAUCCCAGCACCUCUUCAUCUGAAUAGUAAUCAUUUUCAGGAUAAUAGUUUGUUUUGGAAAUCCCAGCACUUCUUCAUCUGUAUAGUAAACUGAGACAGGACAUGUCAGUUACCUUCGCCUCUCUGGGCCUUCCAAUUAAAAUGUUCUUUGAAUCAAACACAGAUAAUGAAAUAUGUACAACAGUAAUCAGUGUAUUGUCUUGUGUCAAAGGCUUAACUAGUUUUGUCUAAUAAAAUCUAUUUGGUUGUGGUGUCUUAAGGCUAUGUUUACAUUUUAGAGGUAGGUAAAAGACCCACAAAUGUCUCCUGAAAUUUUGAUUAAUUUAGACAUUUACUCCCCACCUGAUGGAGAGUUGAACACAAAACCAUAUUAGUUAUUUUACAAUUUACUGAUGAAUGCAUGCAAUAAGCACAAAAUGUACACAGUUUUAACCGAAAAUUAUUAUACAUGAAUGUGAGUGGGAAAGAUGUAAGGGUGAAAAAUGUAUUUGCAAUUGAACAUAGGUGCAAAUUCUUAUACCCAUAACUAUUUAACCCCCUGCAGAUAGCCAAAUAGAACAAAUAGCAUACAUUGUCCCUUUAUUAUUUAUGCCAUCUUCACUCAAGGCAAUCUAAUUUCCCUAUAUUCUUAAUGACAAAAAACAAAACAAAAAAACAAAGCAUCAAAGAUGGAGAGAGAAGAAAAAAAAGUAGAUUGAAUGCUACCAUUACACAGUUUGGCAGCAUGCAAUCUAUAGAAAACUGUCUGUUGCUAUUCAAAAAUCAACUUGAGGCUAUAUUUGUUGGUAAUCAAAUAAAAAAAAUGUUUUUAAUGUUUUUACUGUUGUAAACCAACAGAAAGUUAUACUAUCACAUCUCUCCAGUGUGAUCAAAUAUAAGCCUCACAUUGGGAACAAUUCACUUAAUCUAUGAAUUUAUAAUUAUUAAUCCAGCAUCAAAAAAAUAAAUAAAACAUAGCUGGCAGUGCAGGUGUGCUAAACUAACAAAAACAAAAAAAAAAUUGGAAUUUGGUCCACCUGACUAUAAUUAAUGAAUUUAGAGGCUUAUCCUUAAUAUGAAAAAAAUAUAUAUGUAACAAUACAUACUAAGGUCCUCUUUAAACUGGAGUGUUACGAGAUAAUGGUGAGACAGAUAAAAUAUAGAAACAAAAGAAAAACAAACAUACAUACAGAUGUAGAGGACAACAAAAAAUUAUGGGAGUUAUUAAUUGCUGGGGACCCCCAAUUGAUCAGUAUUUCCCUCCCUCAUCUGUUCCCUAAGCGCUUUCACGUCUGCCUCCAAUCUCUCAGUCUGUCUCUUUAGGUCCCAGUAGUCUCUAUUCCCUUCUUUAUUCCUCCAAUUAUCCCAAUUCCGUCUAUUGGUCUGAUGCUCAUCCCAUUUAUGGUUCCUUCUCCAAUUAUUCUCCCAAUAACUGUUCCUGUUGUUUCUCUGUUUUUCUUACCAACUGUGAUUUUCCCAGUUAUUAUCUCUCCUUUUUAGCCUCUCCCAGGUAUUAUUAUUAUUAUUCCAAUUAUUAUUGAUUACCUUAGGUUCCUCCCAUCUAUUUUCCCAAUUAUCUCUGUGACGAGACCAAUCUCGCCACAUUGCAUUGGAGAAGCCUGGUUGCUCGCCUGCUGCCUCUGGACUAUGGCCCCCUUUUAAAAGACUUUAUUUUGCCUGCAGAAAAGCUGUAUUCGUGCUUUUCUGCCGGUUGUUCAGUAGAUUCAAUCUACCGAACAACCGCACGAAUGAAUAGACCACCUGGGAGCUGGAGUGUGCCGGCAAUUAACCUCCCUGAAGCUGCGGUUAACCGCAGCUUAAUUGACGAAUGCUGGGUGGCCGCCAUUCGUAUCCCGAACACGAGGUCGCGGCCAUUUUAAACAUACGAAUGCACAGCGGUGUUCGCCCCUAUUUUCAUGGAACUAAAAUCGGACACAGUUUUGCGCGAACACCGCUGAAGCCGCUGACCUCCCUUCUUGUUCGGUGGAAGUGCACGAACGGCCCGGUGUUCGGUAGUUUUGUUUGAAUGUGUUAUACCCCAGAUAGGAAUCCCAUGGAGCCCAUUCGUAUGAAACUGACUGUAAAGACUUUGGCUCCAUGGCGAUUAAACUGUAUUCGUGUGGUCUGAGCGCCAUUCGCUUAAUAAUGUGCGCUCAGACCUGAGCUAUCUGGGGAUAUGUUACAUGUCUGUGUUUUAUGUAAUAAAUGUUACUUUAUGUAUUUUAAAGUAUAAUACUGGUUUUGUGUCCCCACGUGUGUAAUGGAGUUUUGCCUUUGUCCUGGGAGAUAAUUGAAUUACUUCUCCAGGGCAGAGGGGAGGAAGCCAGGAUGCAUUGUGGGGAUGUUUUACUUCUGUAUGUCUGUAAUUGGUACAUGUCUGUCUUUUGUUACAGUCUUCCAUCUGGUCCCCUAGGGGAGUGUCCACCAGGUGGGAGACCUGCAUAAAUACUGGGCAGGUAGCCCUCAUUAAACAGACCACUGCUUGACCCUCAACACGGAGCUCUGUCUCGUCUUUGGGGGGAUUUACUGUAUGCUGCUAAGGACUGAUUGCCAGGAGUGUAAGCCGCUUGGGUGCUUUUCCUGUUCGUCUGCUAGCAGCUAUUCGUGAGGUUCCAGUUCGGGAGUUUGGAGUGCUACUUUAUUCCCUUGUAUGCAGUUCGGGAGUUUGGUGCAUUCACUUGUAUUCAAUUCGUGAGUUUUGGGUGAUUCUACAGUAGCUGUGCCUGUCUCUGAAAGGGGAUUAUCGUCUAAGCAUUUUUUAGCCCUUUUGUGCAAAAUGGUCCGUUACAAUCUCCCAUUACAUUGCUUUCUUUAGCACUGUCCCUAUUCCUAUGGUCCCUUUGUGGAUCUCUCCAUCUUUUGUCAAAGUCCUGUUUUGGUCUCCAGUUCUCAUUAUCCCUCUUGUUCUGGGGUACAUCCCACCUCUGGCUUCUCCAUUUACCAUCUAUAUCUCUACCAGAGUCGACCUUGAAUGUUCUUAGGGCUGAAACAGAGAAGGCCUGUUCUGAGGAAGGAUCCUUAAUCCACCAAUUUUAUAACAUGACAGUAGGCUUCGUAUUUGCAUUAACUUUCUUUACUAGCUCCAUAGCAGCAAAGAAAAAAAAAACCAUUAAAGAAAGAACCAAUCAGAGUAAAACAGAGGAUAUAUAAGUCCCAGCGUAGCCAACCAUUUCCUCUUUCUUUGCUGCUCCAUCACAAGUAAGGUCAGAGUACUGAUUUCUUUAAGAUUCCUGUCAGGUUUCUUUAAGGUGUUAUUGACUGUAUGUUUUGCUUUAAUUGUACUUUGUCUUUUCUUACUGUUUUAUUUGCUGGUAUGCUUUAGUGUAUUGGGGGCCAGGGGGGACCUGAAUGGGACUACCCUCUCCUGUCAGGGGAGCUGUGCUCUCUAAUUGGGACAAUCUCUUCCAGCGCUCUCUUCUCCCUGCUCGACGGAAUUUUUGUCCGACUACCUCCCACCCCCCACCUCCCCCUCCCUUCCUUUUCCCUUCUUCCACCGGGUGGCUACGCUUGCCACCUUUUUUCUCUGCCGUUUCGCUCUGCUCGCGCUCUAGUAGCGCGAACAGGCUCGACCCUCGUUUCAGAGGGCACCGGGCAUUCGCGGCCCGACCCGUUCGCGCCGUCGGCUUCAAAGGCGCGAACGGGCGGACUGGAACUGCUCGCGCCCCCCAAGCCGGUCGCGGGGUUUUGCCGCGAACGAGUAAAUUUGCGCGAACGGACAGUUUUCCCGAAUUACUAAAAAGGGAAUUCAGUCCGUUCGCGGCUUUGUUACACACAUAGUGUUCGGCGGUUUCAGCCAGGCGAACGGCCGUUCGCGGCUAAACUGCUAAACGCUUAAAGGGCUCCAUUUUUGCGGGCUUUGUGCCCGAUAGUCUCGUGAGACCCGUGCGGCCAUUUUGUGGGUAAUCGGUUUCGUGGAGUACAACACCUAUCAAGAGAAGGCUCUAGCUCUAACAAGCUCAUUAUUAAUACUGCUGAGGUGGAAUUCGUUUGGGAACUUCACAGGUUGGUGUCAUUGCCCCUGGGGAGUGGGACUGCCAGUAGGGUUUAGCCCAAUAUCCUGGCUAGGGGUGAGCCCCCAUUGAGUGCUGCAUAGCGGGAACUGUUAAAGCAGUUCCCUGUGAACCUGGGUGAGCCCCAGCGACUAGGAGUCCAGUACCACGCCACUGAGCGUUAUUUAACCUGAGUCCCUCCCGCUAUACCUGUGCCUGUUAGUGCCCACACCAUGGAGGACACAAUUAAUACCAGUGACCUUCAAGCAAUGAUCAACGCGGCGGUAGCUGCGUCUUUGGAGAAGGCGUUAGCAAAAGCGGCUCCUGCCCCCGCUGAAUCUAACGCGCUGUCUAACAAGCCACACCAGGCUCACGAAGACUCAGAUGAGUCGGAUGACUCCACUAGAGAAAAGAAGCGCCCGGCGAAGCGCCACUGGAAGGGCGAAGGUUCCAAGAGAGCCGCCUUCAAAGGCAAGGCCCCUAUGAAGCGCAAUAAACGCACUAAUCAGAUACCUCCCGUGUACGCUGGGGAGGCCUCCUCGGAUGAGGAGCAUGACGUGCCCCACUCUCUCUCCAUUCUGGAUGAGUGGCAGGCUGAAACCUCCGACUCUGACGAGGGCGGUUGGGGUCCCAACGCCUAUGUCACCGAGACAUUUCUGGGUGAGCCCCAGCAAAAAGGAGAUGCGGAACCCCCCGCCACGGCCACGCAGGAGCAGGAAAUAUUCCUGGACUCCACGGGCCAGAGAAUGUUUGAUCCUAGGAAGAUUCGCCACCCCCGCUCGGGUGAGUGGGCCCCACCUGAUCAUCUCAUCCGCUUCAUGCAUUUUUGGAUCAGAAAACCUUUGGAAAAACAUAUCCGUAAGAGGAUGCGGGCAGAGUGUCCGAGACCUACCCUGCCAGAUAAAGUGGCCUAUACGCCGGAAUUUGAUCAGCUUAUGCUGACCUUUAUGGAACAAGGGGGCCGCGACCCACGGAGGGGGAUUGAGAAGAGUUUUAAAGGAGCUCAGGAUAAACUCCUAGACACAAUGGGCCCUUUGGCCCGAGUUAUGUACCUGGCGGACGAAGCAUACGCCAGAGCGGACUCCUUCACGGCAGACAUGGUACGAGAAUGGCACAUGAUAUCCGAGAGUGGGCCCAGAGGGGCUUUUGUUUCCUUGGUAAUACAAAUGCGGCCCUCUCUACGGAGCGGCGCCGGGCAGCACUUUUUCGUAUCGACCCCAAAUUAGUUGACCUCGGGGUCAAAGAAUUGGGCCCACAGGCACAGGGCAAGCUCUUUGGUGAAGCUUUUAUGAAGGAACUGAAUAAGCACGUAAACGUCUUUACCUCCUUGAAUAGGGCCCGCACGUCCAUGCAUAAGGUCUUCCGAGGUACCUCCGCAAAGGGUGUUUUUUCAAGGGCUGGUCGGCAGCGGGGCGGUGCCGCCAGCCGUUUCUGGCCUUCAGGCCCCCGUACAGGCUUCCAACACCAAUUCUUCCCUCAACAAGGUUCCCAGGGCAACGGAGCCAAGCAACCAUUCCCCUACUACCAAAGGGGUUCUGACAGAGGACGGGGCGGUCGAGGACGAGGCUGUGCACGCUUCCCUACAGGUAAGAGACCACCUUUGUUCGGUACCUCAUAUAAUUGUGAUUGCAGGCCGUGUUUCACUUUUUUCCCAGAAUUGGGCACAACUGUCCACGGACGCUUGGGUGCUACAGACCGUCCAAGGAUAUCGAAUAGAACUCCGAUCACAGCCCAUUCAAAGGUUCCCCCCUUAUCCUUUGCGUCUUUCGGCUGCGGACAAUCGCCUCAUAAACGGGGAACUCCGCGAGCUUCGCAUAAAGGGCGCUAUAGAACCGGUGCACACAAGGGGAGGAUUCUUCAGCAACAUGUUCCUCGUCCGCAAGAAGACUGGGGACUUCCGGCCAGUGAUCAAUUUGAGAGGACUAAACACGUUCGUGACCUACCGCCACUUCAAAAUGGAGGGCAUCCAUUUAUUGCGGGAUCUCCUCCAAGAAAGGGAUUGGUUUACGCGGCUAGACCUCAAAGACGCUUAUCUGACAAUUCCAAUCCACACGGACAGCCGUCCAUUUCUCCGCUUCCUCUGGAACGGCACGCCAUGGCAAUUCACGUGCUUUCCGUUCGGACUGAGCUCAGCACCGUGGUGCUUCACAAAAAUGCUAAAACCGGUGGUAUCCCACCUUCGAACACGCGGGAUCAGAUGCAUAAUUUAUCUGGACGACAUUCUCUUGUUCUGCAGAACAAGGGAACUGGCCAUCCGGCACACUACGUAUACAGUACGACUGUUAGAAUCAUUGGGCUUCAUGGUCAACAAGGCCAAAUCCGCAAUGACGCCUGCUUAACGAAUCCAAUUCCUGGGCUUCGAGAUCGACUCCAGGUCUUGCACCCUGCAUCUCCCCUCAGCCAAAGUGACGGCCAUCAAGAAGGAGAUCCGCAGGGUUCUCAAAUUGGAUUCCAUUCCGCUCCGUCAACUGGCGCGGAUUGUGGGACUCUUAUCAUCUUCAAUACAAGCCAUAUUUCCGGGACCCCUUCACUACCGAGUGAUGCAACGGCUGAAGGCCAGCCUCCUCCGCCAAAACCCCACAUACAACCAACCGGUCCCGCUGUCGGAAGAAGUAUACCAAGAACUCCAGUGGUGGCUCCACUGCAUGCAGGCCUGGAAUGGUUGGGCCAUCUUCGGCAGUCAACCGGACUUCAUCCUGGAGUCGGACGCGAGUCACCUAGGAUGGGGCGCCAUGGAUGGAGAAACGUCCACAGGGGGCACAUGGACACCACAGGAAUUAUCGAUGCAUAUCAAUUGCCUCGAACUCCUAGCAGGCUCCUUUGCUAUCCACAGCCUCACAAAAGGGCAGUCCAAUUGCUGUAUACUGUUAAGAAUGGACAAUGUAUCCGCGGUACAAUACAUCAACCGCUUGGGGGGUACCCGGUCGAGAACCCUGGCACAUCUGACGAAGGAAAUCUUCGACUACUGCCUCCCACGCAAUAUCACACUACGGGCAGAACACCUGCCAGGGGAGACGAACCUCACAGCGGAUUGGUAUUCCCGUCAUUGGAGGGAUGCCAGCGACUGGCAACUGGAUCCGCGAAUAUUCGCACACCUACAAGACCAGAAGGGACCCUUUCUACUGGAUCUCUUUGCCUCACGAAACAACCGGCAGGUCCCACAAUUCUACAGCUGGCUACCGGACCCGGAUUGCUUAGCGGUAGAUGCCUUCACUCAGCACUGGCCACAACAAGGGGCAUAUGCCUUUCCCCCAUUCGCCAUGAUUGCCAGAGUUCUCAAUCGCCUUCGCAGACGAAGGGUUCGACUGACCCUGCUGACGCCCCUCUGGCCGAGUCAGCCCUGGUUCCCGGACCUUCUCGAAUUGUCUUAUCAGGACCCGAUCCUCCUACCGAACGACGACAUGUUACUCAGGGACCCGGCGGGGAACGCACAUCCGAUGGUGUCAGACGGCCGUCUGACCUUAGUGGCCUGGACUCUUUCAGGGGAACCUGGUGUACCGACGAAUUAUCGUCAACGGCUAAGGACUUCCUUUGGGAUUCCUGGGCCCCAGGAACACGGAGAAGCAUGGAGAGCUUGGACCAGUUGGUGCGUGGGACGGGACUUGGAUCCCUUUACAGCCCCUGUUUCCGAUGUCAUGAAUUUUCUCUCAGCCCUAUUCGAGGAUGGGAAGUCGUACCGCACCAUAAAUGUCACGAGAUCAGCUAUCUCGGCAGCACACGUGCCGUUUCAAGGAAGGGCAGUCGGACAGGAUCCGCUAAUAUGCCGCCUGCUACGGGGCAUCAAACUAAGGAGACCGCCAGCACCUAAAUAUCAACAUCUCUGGGAUGUGGAGAUAGUCCUUCGUUUUCUCAGGGACUGGCCUCCCAACGACCAGCUUUCAUUGAAACAACUGACGGCGAAGUUCACCUUCCUGUUGUGCAUGGUGUCCUUCCGGAGAGUGGCUGACGUUCGGACUUUCGAUAAGGACGCCUUCUCCAUUGGACCCGAAGGAGUCACGUUUCACAUAUCACAGCGUAAAAAAUUGUAAAUGCUUUCCUAUGCGACUGGCUGAAUGCGCGUGCAGCUCUUGCCGCGCGUGCGCAUUCAGCCGAAUGGGAGGAACGGAGGAGGAUCGGAGGAGGAGAGCUCCGCGCCCAGCGCUGGAAAAAAGUAAGUUUUAACCCUUUCCUCUCCCCAGAGCCGGGCGGGAGUGGGACCCUGAGGGUGGGGGCAUAUAGUGGUCCUUUAAACUUAGAAUGCAGUGAAGCCACACAAUUUAACACUUACGAAAACAAUUAAAAUAGAUUGUUUCAUUCUAGUUAGUUGCAACAAGAGAGAGACAAUACAGCACAUGGGCAAUUAAAAAUGGCCAAAACAUCAAAGGUUCCAAUGCAGUAAUACUAUUCAAUUUUCCCUUUUUAUCACCAAUACUUUAAAACUGUACAGAAACAAAGGUAAACCUAUAAAUGCUACAAUUUGCAACAAAAUAUGUUCUGUCAGUCACAAUACACAAAUUCAAAACAGUCAACAAAACACAUAUGUAUAUUUGUUUCAACAAAAUGAAUCCUAUGCUAUAAAGUCUCUUGCUCUUACAUCAUGUAUCAAUAUGGUAGUUAUUACGCCUCACAAACAUUUGUUGUAGAAGUCUAAAACUCAUGGUCGCCAAAAUGUGGUAAAUUACCAAACUCUAUAAAUUAUUAUGUACGCAUACACAUAUAAAUUACUUUAACAAAUAUUUAUUCAGAGACAAAACAACAACAACAUACAAAUAAUGACACACAAUCUAACUAACUAACUAACAAUAACAACUAAAUCUUAUAAAAUCACCAGAUCCCACUCACAGUUCAAUAUCAUAAAAAUUAACCCAUGUCUACUAAAAGAUCUGCUCAGUAGCACAGCCAAGCAGGAACAGGAAGGAAUGGGGAUAGGGGGAAGUGGGUAUCUCUUUCCUGACUUGUAAAGGUAUUGAAUUACCCAAUUACCAUAUGAAAGGGUAAAGCUUAUCCCACUGUAAGGCAUACAUGAGCUUGGUCAUAUGACCCCUGGUCACCAUAUUAGUUUGAUGACAGAAUGUCACCACACGUGGCACCUCUAUCGCCGUCCCAACCAUAGUUCCCUCCUCUUCAGGAGAUGGCUAUCGACCUUCCACAUCUCCAUCCAUCUCUCAAGUGCCUUCUUCAGGAUCCAGUCAGUGUGCCUCAUCCCCUUGUUCUCCAAGGUCUCUUGCAUCUCAUGGUGUGGUUGAUUUCAGGGAACCAUAGUCGGUCGAGGGAGUUUCGCAAUCAACUUUCCGACUUAUCGAGGGUGCACCCAACAUGAGACAGGCUUAUAAAUCUGCUUGAAACACAUGGCAUAGUUGGUGCAUGAAAUUAAAUUUAAAUUCCUUUUAUGUCUGUCCUCCAUUUUUCUGACUUCUCUGUAUGCUGAAGGUAAAGCCUAUCGCACUGUGGACCUUACCGAUCGUCCAUUUCUGCUGGUCAUCAAAGUUUCAAUUGCAUGCCCCUUUCGGUUGACAUCCUGAUAUAUGCUGACUUCUCUAAAGGAAUUUGGUUUGCUCAUCCACCCUUACAGCGAUACUCUGUCUUGUGGGACAUCUCUAUUAUAUUGAAUUUUUUUCUUGCAAGAGGUUUUCUGACGUACAAGUUCUAGAGGUGGUUGCUUGUUCCUUUACUCCAGAAGGUGUCCUCUUUGACAUUUCUCAGAGGACAAAAACCUCCUCUAAAAUCAUUUUAUACCCAGCUUUCCCUGAUAAAUCUCUCCUUUGCCCUGUUGCAUACUUAUGGGAGUGUGAACUUCGUUCCACUACGUUACGGAAACCUUUGAAACAGGAACUCUUCAUCUCCUUCCAAAUGUCGCGUCUUCCAGUGUCUACUCUAGCCUGGUGGGUCAAAUACGUUAUGUCUAUAGCAGAUAUUGAUACCUAUGUGUUUGUGCCUCAUUCGGUUCGUGGGGCAAUGGCUUCUAAGCACUGGCGUACAUACCAGGGUCGCAGGGGUCGCGCCUGCGACCGGGCCCGGCCCACCUGGGGGCCCGGCCCACCUGGGGGCCCGGCCGCCCCUGCGACCCGGUAUGUAGCCACAGGGCCAGCCUCUUCCCCUGGGGGGCCCAGGAGCCGACCACCCCAGGGCCCCCCUGAGGCUGGCCCUGCUGACCCCGGGUGGCCGGUCGGGCAGGCAGGCAGGCGGGCGCGCGAGGGAGCACUCAGUGCUUCCUCUUCAACUCCCUCGCGCACCGCACUGAUACCGGAGCCGGAAGAUGACGUCAUCUUCCGGCGCCGGCAUCCUUAGGCGGCGCGCGAGGGAGCUGAAGAGGAAGCACUGAGUGCUCCCUCGCGCGCCCGCCUGCCUGCCUGCCCGACCGGCCACCCGCACAGGAGCCCCACUGGACCCCAGGGAAUAAUCCCCCCCAGCACUCCAAGAGGUAAGGAGGCUGGGGGGAUUAUAUUAAAAAAAAAAAAAAAUCAUGUGUGAGUGUUAGUGUGUGUGUGAGUGUUAGUGUGAGUGUUAGUGAGUGUUAGUGUGAGUGUUAGAGUUAGUGUGAGUGUUAGAGUGAGUGUUAGUGUGUGUGUCUGCUAGUGAGUGUCAGUGAGUGUGUUACUGUGUGUGUCUUACUGAGUCUGUUUGAUGUCUGUUAGUAAGUGCGUGUUUGUCAAUGAGAGUGUAUGUUUUGUGAGUGUGUAUGUAUGUCUGUCGCUGAGUGUGUCUCUGUCAGUAAAUGUGUGUGUCUGUUAGCUAGUGUGUAUGCGCCUGUAAGUGAGAGUGUGUGUGUCUUCAGCACUUACCUUUCUCCAGCGCCGGACUCCCUUGGCGCUGAGGAUCCCUCAGCCUCUCAGCUCCUCAAUGCCACUGCCAAGACGAUUUCCAGUCUCACUUCCAUGGGGAAAGCAUUACUCAAUGCUUUCCUAUGGGCGUUCAGUGUGCUCCUCUAGCGGCUGUCCGUGAGACAGCCACUAGAGGCUGGAUUAACCCUCAGUGAAACAUAGCAGUUUCUCUGAAACUGCUAUGUUUUCAGCUGCAGGGUUAAAACUAGAGGGACCUGACACCCUGACAACUUCAUUGAGCUGAUGUGAUCUGGGUGUCUGUAGUGGUCCUUUAAAGGACCACUAUAGUGCCAGGAAAACAUACUCGUUUUCCUUGCACUAUAGUGCCCUGAGGGUGCCCCCACCCUCAGGGACCCCCUCCCGCCCGGCUCUGGAAAGGGGUAAAACUUACCCUUUUCCACCGCUGGGCGGAGAGCUCUCCUCCUCCGAUCCUCCUCUUCUCCUCCCCGUCGGCUGUAUGCGCACGCGCGGAAAGAGCUGUGCACGCAUUCAGCCGGGCACAUAGGAAAGCAUUCAUAAUGCUUUCCUAUGCACGCUGGCGUGCUCUCACUGUGAAAAUCACAGUGAGAAGCACGCAAGCCCCUUUAGCGGCUGUCAAUGGGACAGCCACUAGAGGAAAUAGGGGAAGGCUUAACCCAUUCAUAAACACAGCAGUUUCUCUGAAACUGCUAUGUUUAUGAAAAAAUGGGUCAACCCUAGCUCGACCUGGCACCCAGACCACUUCAUUAAGCUGAAGUGGUCUGGGUGCCUAGAGUGGUCCUUUAAGUGUGUGUGCAUCUGCAUGCACUGGCGUACAUACCGCGGUCGCAGGGGUCGCAGCCCUGUAACCCCUGCGACCAGGUGCCCACCGCCAUGUGUUGCGGCCCGGCCCGCGCGCGGGAGGGGGGGGGGGCCCACGGAUCAAUUUUCGCACCGGGGCCCCAUGGGUCAUGUGUACGCCACUGCUUCUAAGGCUUCCUCGAUUGGUUGUCGCUUGGAGGAUAUUAUGAGAGCGGCUGGUCUUCGGAGUCUACAUUCCAUGAUUUCUACUUUAGACCUAUUCAACACUUCACAGGAGACAUAAUUUCACAGCUUUGAACUAGCAUAAUAGGAGCCUCUGUCUCUUAAUAAAAUUUACAGAUUUUACUAUUAACAUGACGUAAAGUCAUGAUUUUAUUAAUGACACAAAGGCGAGUAUUAUCCCUCCCUCCCAUCCCUGGAGGUUUGGUCUUCUCUGGGUAAGUUGACUUCACGGUAAGUCUUUUUUGAUUACUGGCUUUUAUCCUUGUUAAUGGCUGCCAAGAGCUUAAGGUUUGACUAAAUUGAAUUUCAUGUUAUGUAUAUAUAUAUGAUAUUCUAUGUAAUGCGAAUUUAUGCAUAAAUCCAGUUUUAUACUUGGAUAUUACCAUAUUCCCCUUUCUCAUCCAGCCUGACUUCGAGAUCCUGGUUAAGGCUCGCAUACCCUCUUAUUGAAGCCCCCUUUUCAUUUGGAUUUGUUGUCCUUGUUCGGGAUCGCAAGAAAGAGGAAGUAGUAUACAUGACAUUGCCUAUUAUGCUAUAAAGAGGAUGCUGAUUGGCUGUUCCUGUUGCUAGGAAGAUAUACCUCAUGUUAUUUACUGGUUUCUUUUAUACUGAUUUAAUGUUAUUUUUCUUUGCUGCUGAGGGAAAUAAAGAAAGAGUGCAGCAUAAUACUCGCCUCCGUGUCAUUAAUAAAAUCAUGACUUUACGUCAUGUUAAUAGUAAAAUCUGUAAAUUUGUAAAAAAAAAAAAAAAAAGGCUCAUCAGAAGGGAUAUGAGAGCACUAUACAAAUAUAUACAGGGUCAGUACAAACUGCUAUAUGCUAACUUGUUCAUUAGUAGGAGUAUACAACAAACAAGAAGAUGUCACCCAAUGAGACUGGAAGAAAGGCGUUUUCAUUUAUAGCAGAGGAAAUGGUUCUUAAGUAAGAACAGUAAAUAUGUGGAAUUCUGUGCCUUUAGAGGUUGUGCUUUCAGAUUCAAUAGUUAAUUUAAACAAAUGUUGUAUGCAUUUUUGCAUAAACAUAAUAUUCAAGGAUAUCAUUGAUGUGUAUGUAAACUUGUUGUGGGUCCAAGGAGAUAUCUGAUUGCCAUUAUUGUGUCAAGAAGUAUUUUUGCCCUUUUGUGGCAAUAUUUUGUUUGUAACUUUGUAACUCUUAAAUCAUUGUUCACAUGGAACACUUAUCAUAGAGUGAUAGAACACAACAGAUAAUUGUAUAAUGCAAUUGCAAACCUAUCUCUUGGCUUUAUUCAAACCAUUUUAGCAAUGGUAAGACAUGUCAAGAAGAAAUUUGGUUAGACAUUAUAAGAAAUAGAAAGCAAACAGAGGGAAAAUGGAAUUUUAAUGAGUAAAAGACAAAUUUUCAUAUGAUCAAUGCUAUUGUGUUUCAGACUGGCUAUUAAAUUACUUUACCCUACUUCCCAUAAUUGAACUGCAUAUUAUGAAGGUCUGUCAUCUCUGUCUGCCUCUUCAAAAUUAUUUUGAUAAUAUCUUUCUUCACCAUUAAUUUCUGUCUACUGUUUUCUCAUGCUGAAGAUCAAUUUUUCCCUGUCUUCUUUUGUGGCUUUUUAUGACAUGAUGAUAAUAUUCAAUCUUCAAAUUAAAUACUUUCCCCAUUGCUCUGCCCUUUUAAAGCUAUCACAUCUUAAUCCAGAAUAAUUAUUGUCUAUUUAUGAUAAAAUUAGCUCUCUUUGAAGAAAAUGCCUGUUUUUCACAACAUACAUACUUUCUAUGCUUUAAAGCAGCUCUGAAAUGACCUCCUCCCCAUCCCAAACCUAUGGAUCCCUCCUACUAGCACCCACCAAACACCUACAACUCUUAUUGGCCCCAGGACCACCCUUUGUCAAUUCUGGUUAUACAUAAGGAAAUGUAGUGCUGGGGAGGGGGAAGAGACUUCCAGAAAAAAAUAAAAAGCAAAAACAAAAAUAAAAAAAUUAUAAAGCGCUUUAAUCACAUCUAGCUCCUGAUCCUAUUUUCUCUCCAGUGUAGAAUUUUACCUGGGUGUGGUUGACCAAAUCUUGACCCAUACCUCCUUUGUUAUCUCACAUUCUGUUCUUGCUAGUGGAAUGACAAUAAUGUUCUAAUUAAAUAUAUUUGGGAAUGCUUGUGGUGUUAUACAUGCGUUGAUGCUGUAUGUGUAUAUUUAUUAACUAUAUAAAGGCAGAUUCUUGUUACUGCUUCUUCCUUUUUCCCUAUUUUGAUCACUUCUCACUUGAUUUGUAAAUAUAUAUAAUCAUCUUUUUUUCCCCAUCAUUCGUAUAUUUUUUGGCACCAUGGACGGAAUCCUGAAUCACGAUUCAAAUGAAUUGGCUCAUCCAUUGUCCAUUAUGUUUGCUUCAUAAUUCAUUCAUGAGCAGUUUCUGCUUUAAGAAUUUCAGAUGAGUUGCUGAUUGCCAACAAUUAGAACAAAUCAACCAAAAAAACAUUUGGGAGAAACCAAAGUCUACUGACUUGCAUUAGUAAAGGUUGCUCCCAAGACUUGUCAGGCCAGGAAGAUAUUUUUAUCUCACCAACCCGUGAUGUAUAGGGAGGCUGUUAAUGUUGCGUGUUUAUGUGUCUGUGAGGUGCUGUUUGCGUGUAAUGUUUAUGGGAUGUUUCUUAUGGUGUUUUUUCAGGUGUCGACUCUAUUGGUGUUUUGUUUGUGUGGGAAGGGUUAUUGUGGUGUUGUGUAUGUGUCUUUGUGUGCGUUUGAAAGAUGCUGAGGACCUUCCCUGCUUUCAUUCCUGAUUGUAAAAAUAAAGUUAAAGUUUUCUUCCUUUCUUCUUAAUAAACAAGUUACUAUUCUCUGAUUCACCAUCAAGUACUGAAGAGCAGUUCAGUGCUAACAGUGAUCUGCACCUGCCUGGUAAUGUAUGCAGGGCCGGUGCAAGCAUUUUUGCCACUCUAGGCAAAAACAAUUUUAACACCCCAUUUGCUCCCCCAAAUCAUGCAGACUAACACACACGCUGACUCAAGUAGACACAUGCUGACCCAUGCAAACUGACACACAUGCACUAACCCAUGCAGACACACAUGCACUAACCCAUGCAGACACACACACUGACCCAUGCAGACACCGACACUGACCCAUGCAGACACACACUAUGACCCAUACAGACAAACACAAUGACCCAUACAGACAUUGCACACAUGACAUACACACACACUGACCCAUACAGACGAACAUACACAAAAAUACUGACUGAAGCAGACUAACACACAUCUUACCUUCAUUGCUGUUCCUAUAUUCACCUUCCCUGUGCCUGGCGGCUCAUCACGUCCUUUCUCAGCAUAUUUCCUGUUAUGUUCCUGCCCACUUCUUCCCAGGGGAAGGGGUGGGAGCAAGGAAUUGAAGCGCCCUUUCGCUGCUGCUGUAGCAAUGGAUGUCUGGAAGGGGGAGGCAUGGCUAAGCAGGCUGAUGUGUAUUGCUGCAGGCAGUGGCACAAACUCAUAAAGCUAGGGUCUGCUCCCCCCUUAAGCAGCACCCUUGGUGGCUACCUUAGUUGCCUAUAGGAAGCCACAUACUGGCUUGUAGACUUGUGUAAGGGGAAGAAAUUUGGUUCAGUUGAAUCAUUUCAUCAGAAAAUAAAUAAAUAGUUGAAGUGUCCAAAUUGCGUUCAUAUGGUUAGUUGGUUAGGAGGAAUUCUGCACAUGUAAACGAUUCUGGAAAAUAAUUAGUUUGAAAAAAAAGGGUGCCAAACUGUGCCAAUUAGUGAACUGCAAAAUAUACUGCAUUUUACUACAUUUCCACUCUAUUUCGUUUGCAGAUCUAGUGAGAAGAAAUAACCAAUUGAAGGAAAAAGAGAAGCAGCAAAAAAAAUCUAUAUUUAUUAACUGUAUAAAGACAGAUUAUUUUUACUGCUUCUUCCUUUUUCCCUGUAUUGAUCAGUUCUUUUUUAGCACCAUGCCAGAAUCCUGAAUCACGACUCAAAUAAAAUGGCUCACCCGUUGUCCAUUUUGUUUGUGUCAUAAUUCAUUCAUAUGUUGUUUCCAAGUUCAGAAUUUCAAAUGGGUUGCUGAUUGCCAACAUCAUUAGAACAUAUCACCAUUUGGGAGUAACCAAAGUCUGCUGGCUUACAGUAGUAAGGGUUGCUCCAAAGCUACACAGGCCAGGAGGAUCUUGUGAGCUCACUUACUCGUGAAGUGGGAAAACUGUACAGUCAGUGCCCUACGGAAAAUACCAGAUUCAGCUCGCAAACGUUUCACCCAUAUUUUAGCAUUUGCCAAUGUCUAAUUUGUCAAUAUGAAUCCAAUUCACAUACAUUAUUUUGUAAAUAACAAAGGGCAUACCUGCAUGAAAUUAUUGAAUAUGUAUGUGGAUGAUCAGAAUUGUGUAUUUCUGAAAUGAAACAAAUGAAAAAAUACAUUCUUUAUAAUGAUAAAUUGCAAGCUUAAAGUUACACGUUUACAAUUAUACAAAUAUGUGUACACUUUGUAAUACAAAUUAUUCAGCCCACGAACAUUUCAGUAGGCAAUUUGGUGUUCACAAGGCUAUUAAUAAAGAUUAUUUAAAUAUAUGAUAACUAAGCCAAAUGCAAUUUUGGAAUACAGAAUUGGUGCCCAUACAUUCCUGUGAAACAUGGGUAAAUUUAACAUAAAUUGCCACCUGUGGCAGGUUGCAUUGACAUUAAAAAAACUUAUAAUUUACUAUUGUUGCAUAAGGUUUUUAAGUAAUUUAAUAUUUUGUGGUAAACUUUUUAAAUUAUGUUUUAAAAAUAUAAUUAUAACAUAUGUCACAUUAAAAUAUAUAUCAGUUUAUCAAAAAUAUUAAAAUAUUACACAAUGAAAAUAUUUUUUCAUAUUAAAUAAUUUUAAAAGUUUAUUUAAAAAUAUUUGAAAAGCUUAUUAAACAUUAUUAAAUUAAAGGGACAAACUUUGUAAAACCAAACAGUGUACAAUCUGCUAACUCUCAUUGUUUGCAUAAAUACAAUUACUGGAUGUGUCCAUACUAUACAAAGAAUGUCACGUCUUUCUAAAAAUAUGUCUCAAAGAGAUGAUGAUUUUAAUAUUCCUCUGAAUAUGCUGAUAUGAUAUUACACUGGCAGUAUGUUUAACUGUUUUACAUUUACUACCUGUAAAUAAAGUCAAUUGUUAAAGGAAUGCAUUAUGAGUGUGCCAUGCUUGGCUAGGCUGGCAUGAAACAAAAAAUAGUACACAUUACUCUGGUAUAUGACUGCCUGCGCUCUCACAACCCUAUGCCAUCUGUCUGAAUCUUGGCUUAGAAAAUAUGGGAUAAGCCCUAGAGUGUGUCACCUGCUGCGGAAGCAAUAACAUUUAAUACACUUCAUAUGAAGCUAUAAAAAGAUGUGGUCUGGAUAAUAUUACAUGCUGUGAGUAACCAUGGCUCAUUUCUCUUAAAGGGGCACUCAGCUGCCCACAUUUACAAGAGAAAUUUUAAAAAAAUCACCGUUUAGUACAUAUACCCCAAAUAAAAACAUGCAUGAAUUUUAUUAUUCAUUUUUUUCAUAGGUAGUAUAUCUAAAGACAUCUUACAAAAAAUGCUGAUAUCUUGUUUGCAGCAUUUCCAGCUUGCAAGCCCUCCCCUUCUAACCCCGCCCAGAUUUUCUAUGUCUGUCCAAUCACAGACUUCCCAAUGUAGCUCAAUGCGAGACAGGUGCUCUGGGCAAUUGCUGUCUCUUGAAUUUAGCUCAACUGAGCUCCACUGAUCUAACCAAACCAGGAAGUAAUAGGACAGAUUGUCUACUAAUAAGCCAGGGGGUGUGACAAGGUUUUUGUUUAUAAAAAUGUCAAUUUCUAUUGAAACCUGCACGUUUUGUAAAAACGAGGGCAAACUCUUCACACAUAAAGCAUUUCAGCAAGCUUCAAAUAGUGAGAAUGUGUUAAAGCACCUGAGAAUUAAAUAAAAUGUUUUUUUUGUUUGUUCCAAAAUACACAUAUUUUAAAUCUAUUAAGGUUAUUUAUUAUACACAUGACAUUUUAAUUUUUUUUUUUUGUAAAUAUAGGGAAAGUAGGUUUCUAACCAAACUGAACAAGCUGCAUACAUUGUUUCGGGUAGUAAUAGUAACAUACAAUGCCUUAUAAAGUACAGAAAAUUGGUAUAACCAUGGUUACUGUAUGUGGUAGUUAUGUAGGAAGCUGCAUUCACAAAACUGCCAGCAUAUCCUUACAAGUACCAAUUGCUGGGUAUUUGAUCAUUUUGAUUGAUCAGUGUUUUGUUUUUUUGUGAAACAUGUUAUUUAUGCAUCUAUGCUAGAAUUUGAAUUUGUGAGAUAUUACAAGAGUAUGGACAUCACAACAUAUCUCAAAUAUUUUAUUUAAAUUUGUGUAAAAUUACUUAAUUUUAAUUAAUAUAGGAAUUCCAAAUCGCAAUCUCUGCACAAAACUGCUGCUGUAUUCUAUAUGUAUUCGCUGGCAAUGCAUUCUGACAAAAUCUCAUUCAAAUGCUAUUUUUCAAUAACUUGGUGUGCAAUGGAUUAAAACAACAUUUUAUAAUAAAAAGCGUGGUCACCACGAGAAAUAAAUACGUAGAUAUUCUAAGCACCUAGCCAUUUAUCAACUGACUCUAGUCAUUCAAUAAACUAAGGAAUUUCAAAUUUUAUGGCAAGACAGGAGGCUUCAUAUUUGCUUUAACCUUCUUUACUGAACCUCCCAUCAGCAAAGAAACAGUUAAACACAUAGAGAAAAAAAAUCAACCAAUCAGAACACAUCUUAGCAUAUAGUAGUCUGUGAAACUCUUCCCAACUCCUCUUUCUUUGCUGCUUGCCUCCCAGGUGAGUAAACUCCAAUUAUAGACCUAUAUUGAUUGUUAUUAAUCUAACAUUAUCCUUGUUAAAAGAUAAUAUUCUUCCCAUUUGUUAUUACAAUCUCUCUUCUUCUUCAGUUCACUGUUCAGGUUCCUUUUCUGAUUGUAUUUAUCCAUUAGAAUUUUUAUUAAUUGUGUAAUUUUGAUUAAAACUAUCUUUUAUUUUUCGCCGCGCCACUAUUAUGUGGCUGCGGUUUGUUACUACUCAUGCCUUCCAAACGUAAGUAUUCCUUUAGUCUUACUUGAUUCUCUCUCAGUGGCGUCUCUAGGAUUCAUUUUUAGAGGGGGGCACAUGGAGGGCCAGGGACAAAUGGAGGGGGGGCACAUUUAACCCCGCCCUCGCCGCAGUUUGACCCCGCCCCUGCUGCAUUUUAAGCCCCGCCCCCGACACAAUGUGUUUGUUUUUUUUUAAUAAUCUCUGGUGGAGGAUUCAUUAUUUUCCACCAGGGAUUAUUAAAAAACAAACACAUUACCCUUGAUACAGUGCCAUAGUUGCCAACAUUUGAAAAAAAUUUCCAAGGAUAUUUUGCAGCACAGCUAUCAAUUACUGUCUGGGUAUAAUAUCCCUGGACAGUCAGUGCUCUCUGUAUAAUACAGGGUUGUGUGUAUAAUAAAUUGGGACAGUCAAGGGGUAUCACGGGGCUCCGCAUGGGCCGGGGAGAACAUAGAGUGGCGGCCUACGCGGACGACAUGCUAUUUUUCCUGGAACAGCCUCGGAUCUCAAUACCUAACCUGUUGAAAGCGUUCAGAGAGUAUGCUGUGGUCUCGAACCUCUCGCUCAACCUAGACAAAUCGGAGCCAUGCCACUGACUUCAGGAGACGCCAUGCUGAGGCACCUUCGCGAGCACUUUCCAUUCCGGGUAUGCCAGUCGAAGCUCAAAUAUUUGGGAAUAUGGCUGCCAAACGAUUUAAAAGACGUAUAUACAUUUAACUUUACACCUCUUCUCACGACCCUACAGAGGGACAUGAAAAAAUGGACUUCACAAUACAUCUCCUGGUUCGGGCGGAUCAACGCCAUUAAGAUGAACGCAAUGCCAAGAAUCCUUUACCUGUUCCAGACGCUGCCGACGUGUAUCCCGCGAUCGUUCUUCCAGUCCCUAACAACCGCCAUACGGAAUUUUGUUUGGACUCGGGGAGUGGCUCAUAUUGGCAGGUCAGUCCUGGAACGACCGAAGCAUGCGGGGGGCACGGGUCUCCCAUCGGUAAUCACCUACUACCAGGCGACCCAUCUAUGCCGCCUGGUGGAUUGGCACGUGUUCCCGACCGCCAAGCAGUGGGUGGACAUGGAGCAUCAACAAGCGCAAGGACGGAUUCCCUCCCUGCUGUGGCUGGACGGCACGGCUCUGGGUGACAUUCACACGGGUAAUCCAAUGAUAGACUCCACAAUGCGUGUGUGGUGUAGGACCAGAUACGUGAAGCAAUUGACCACGAUGCCAAACCCGCUGAUUCCUAUAACAAACAACCCGCGGCUUGCGGGAGGACUUAAGCGGGCGGACCUCGAGAGCUACGCGGCGACGGAAUGGACCUAUCUGCGGCAAUGGUGUACUGAGGUAACACACACCCCGACCGGAUUGGAUGAAUUCCGCUACCACCAAGUGCACAGGUAUUACCUCUCCCUAGCGGGAAAAGGCAACAUCCAUAGAACACUGCUACCGCUGGAGCAGGCAUGCGUGGACAGGCAACACCUCGUGCACGGAGUGUCCACGCUGUAUGCCAUGCUCCAGCUGCAGGGCAGCGGGACCCCCCUGGGAUUCACCAAGCGCUGGGAACAAGAGACGGGAACGAGUCUCACGGACAGCGAGUGGGACAAAAUCUUUAUGCUGACACACAAAGGGAGCAUCUGCUCCAAAUACCAGGAAUGUAACUACAAAAUCUUAACGGGUUGGCACAGAACCCCAGAUGUAUUACGUCAUGUCCAUGAGUCAAUCCCCGGGGAGUGCUGGAGGUGCGGCGUGGAACAGGGUACAAGACUUCACAUCUGGUGGUCGUGUUCGCUAAUAACUAAUAACGCCGUAUUGGAAGCAGAUACACAAAGCAAUUAGGGAAAUAGCGGACGCAGACCUCCCCCUGCAGCCGCUGCAAAUGUUGCUUAAUCACACGCAAACACCGCUGCGGAGUUAUAAAAAGGGUCUGACCGUACACCUGCUAAAGUCAGCGAAAAUCCUAAUCCCAAUUCACUGGAAAAGUAGCACAGUCCCCACCUUCCAGCAAUGGGUGGAUAAGGUGGAAGACAUAUAUAACCUUGAGAUGAUGACUGCCUCCCUGCAGGGACGCACGGACAAAUGUGCAACGACCUGGUUCCCGUGGGUGGACUACAUGACCAAGAGAGCAAGGCGGGGGGGCGCUCCGGGGGGGGAGGGAGAAGGAGGUGCCGCGGUGCCGCCGACCUUGCCGACCCACGGGGGGGGAGAUGCCCUGGGGUGACCGGCGACGACCUCCGCAGGUUCCGAGUGACAAUAGUACCGGCAGGGGGGUGACCGGGGGGGGGACUUGCUGCGAGUGGGGGGAGCGGGGGGAUUGGGAUGGGGACACACUGGGCGCAAGCCUAGCACAAGAGCAACGUUAACCAGGGACAGACGACUAGUUAACACCCCUGACAUAGGACGGAGUGUAGAGGCACGGAUGGGGAGGGGAGGGGAGGAGGGGAGGGAGGGCAGGGGAGACCUAAGCCAUACGCUGCGGGAAGGUGGGUAAGGUGGUUCUAGAGCUCUAGGGACAAGGGACAAGGGGGGGAUGAUAAGGUGGAAGAGUGGAACAACAUAGCCAAGGGGGAGGAGUGGGGACAACGAGAUGUAAUGGAUCUAAUUCAAUAUUAGGACUCACAAGCACACUGGAGGGACUGGAGAGGGGGACAGCCUCGGGGGGGCGCCCGCCAAGAGGUGACAGGAGAUUACUCCACAAAACUCACCGGCAGUGGUCGUGGGGGCACCAGACGCAACGCCCACACUAAACUGCUAUCAGGAAGGACUUGCGGCACAGGCCCUGACGCAUGGAACAGGGAUGCUUGAGGCGAAGAACCUUAGGAGCCCUAGCCAUAGUGAAAUGAGCAGGGGAUGUGACGGGCAACAAACUAAUACUCGUAUACUGGCCCUGGUAUUACAUAUCGUAGUACAGAAACCGGUUGAGAGGGUGAGGGGGGGUGGGGUGGAAGGUGACGAGAUGGGGAACAGGAGGGGGAGCCCUAGCAGAAGGGGACAGGGGAUGCAGCACUCGGGCAUCGAGGCAACCACAAGACUUCACCAUCAUAUGAUUGGGUGCGGGGAAUUUCCUUCUUGUACUAUGUUCUGUUCUGUAUUCAUUACUUAAAAUUCUAAUAAACACGUGAUUGUCAAGAUAAAUUGGGACAGUCAGUGCUCCCUGUAUAGUGCUGCUCUCUGUAUAAUACAGGUCUGUUUGUGUAUAAUAUCCCAGAGAGCAGAGAGCAGCACUAUACAGGGAGCCCUGACUGUCCCAGGAUAUUAUACAGACACAGGCCUGUAUUAUACAGAGAGCAGCACUAUACAGGAAGCACUGACUAUCCCGGGAUAUUAUAUACACACAGAUCUGUAUUAUACAGAUAGCUGAACAUAUACCCCAUGUCCCAAUCUCUAGACUACUAGUACCUGUCAACGCGUGUAACAGGGCUAAAGUGUGCGGCAGCUCAGACAGAUGAUUCAGCAAUAAAGUGCACUCGCUGGCAGAGCCAAACUGGGAAUCCCUGGGAAUCCAAAGCAGCCCUGGAAAAACAUUUAUGCCAUUCCUACAAGUCAAUAUAUAUAAAUAUAUAUAUAUUACAGUAAGCACACAAGCUCACUGACAUGCGCAAAUAGGCUUACUGACAGACAAAACUCUCUGACUCACACACAAGCUUACUACAGACAAACUCACUUGUAUAAACAGAAGGCUCACUACAAAGAAGUUCAGGGACACACACAAGCUCACUAAAGAAAAGUUCACUGACAAACACAUGUUCACUAAAUAGAAGCUCACUGACACACACACAAGCAGUACCAUUUUAACAGCGUUAAGGGACUCCGGGCAAAGCAAUGCACUGGGGCUCUUCCUACACAACAACUCACAGGAAUUUUAAUUAUUGAUAGACUGCUGAGUCCAUACACACACACACAGACUGCUGAGUCCAUACACACACACAGACGGCUGAGUCCAUACACACACACACACACAAACACAGACUGCUGAUUCUAUACACACAGACACAGACUGCUGAGUCUAUACACACAGACACAGACUGCUGAGUCUAUACACACACACACACUGCUGAGUCCAUACACACACAGACACAGACUGCUGAGUCCAUACAGACACAGACUGUUGAGUCCAUACACACACACAGACUGCUGAGUCCAUAUACACACAGACUGCUAAAUUCAUACAGACACACAGCUGAGUCCAUACACACACACACACACACACACACACAGACUGCUGAGUCCAUACACACACAUACUGCUGAGUCCAUACACACAGACAGACUGCUGAGUCCAUACACAUACACACACACACAGACUGCUAUGUCCAUACACACACACACAUACACACACACAGACUGCUGAGUCCAUGCUGAGUCCAUGCACACACACACAGACACAGACACACAGACUGCUGAGUCCAUGCACACACACACACACAGACUGCUGAAUCCAUGCAGACACAGACUGCUGAGUCCAUACACACACAUACACAGACUGUGUCUGGACAGGAACAUCUUUCUUCGAGCAGAGUAUCUGCUCGGUUCCAACUCGCAGAUUGGUUCUCUUGAAACUAGAGGGAUGCCAGUGACUGGCAACUGGAUCCUCAGGUCUUUUAUCAUCUCCAUUUACUUCGGGGUCCAUUCAACCUCGACCUAUUGCCAACUCGGCUGAAUCGUCAGACAGACGCCCUUUUCAGUUGGUUGAUGGAUCGACCUCUCUAGCAGACUCAUGGGCUCCUGGCACUAGACGUUCUUACCUCUUGGCCUGGCGAGUUUGGAAUUUCUCUUGUUUUUCAGCUUCUUUGAUUAACGUUAUGAAUUUCCUGUCCUCCCUUUUCAAUUAAGGGAAAUCCUACAGAUCUAUUAAUGUGUUUCGUUCUGCGAUUUCGACAGCUCAUGUUCCUAUUGACAAUGCUGCAGUAAGGAAACAUCCCUCUCUCUUUAGACUGUUGCGAGGCUUGGUUUGUCUUUGUCUUCGUCUUGCUCGACCCCCUGUUCCUAAAUACUCUCAGUUUUCGAAUGUCGCUCUUUUUCGUUUUGUCCUUCUUAGAGACAUGGCCAUCGAACGAAGCACAUUCUCUUCACCAACUGUCAGCCAAGCUAGCUCUUCUUCUCUGUUUAGUCUACUUUAGGAGAGUGUGUGAUAUUCAAGCAUUUGAUUUCCAUGCAAUUGACUUCACCCCCCAGGGUGUAUGUUUUAACAUUUCUUGCCGCGCUAAAGCUAACUCCUAAGCAAUUAUUUACCCUUACUUCAAAGACAGACCAUCUCUCUGCAUUGCUUGUUGUGUUCAGCACUACGUCUUUGCUAUGACUCCUCUGUGUAUGCCUACGGGCCCCCUGUUUAUCUCAUAUGUCCGACCACACAAACCAGUGUCUCCCCCCAUGAUUGCCCGCUGGAUUAAAUGGCUUCUUGUUUUGGCAAGCGUAGAUCCAUCCUUUGCAGCUCACUCAGUUAGAGGUGCUGCCGCCUCUUCCGCCUAUGUGGCUGGGAGAUCUCUUGCAUCCUGUGACUGGUCUAGGGAGUCUACCUUCCGUACCUUUUUAUUUUCGACAAUUGUCCUAUGCUUCUUUUUCCUUGGUUUCCACGCCUUAAAAAAAGCAAAUAUGAAGCCUCCUGUCUUACCAUAAAAUUUGGGAUUAUUCUAGUUUACAGUGACUGAAUAAUCUAAAUUGUAUUAAACACAUGAGGCAAAUAUUUUUCCACCCACUUUGUAUCCCAUCCCAGUUACUUUACGUGAGAUAUAUAUAUUUUUAAUUUUGAUGUUUUCAUAAGACUGUAUAUUACACUGCCGGUUUCUAUUUCUUAUGGUUAUGUGAACUCUUAAUUACCGAGCUAGGAAUAUUUAGAUUUCGAAUAGUUUGAUACUCGUGAUAUCGAUAUGUGUUAAUCUGUAUAUAUAUAUUGCAGACACCCAGUCCAAGUGACUAUACUUUCACAAUGUUUUCUCUGUCUUUCUAGUGUGAAGUUUCGUCUGCAUGUACCGCUUCAUUAUCCCACAGACUGCUCUCCGGAGGCUUACAGUUUCUACUUUGUUUUGGUUUACAUGGUUGAUUCAUCACUCUGGUUUACAUGGUUGACUACACGUUUGAUCGCCUGCAUCAAGAAAGAAGAGUUGGGAAGAGUCUCACAGACUAAUAUAUGCUAAGAUGUAUUCUGAUUGGUUGAUUUUUUUUCUCUAUGUGUUUAACUGUUUAUUUGCUGCUAAGUGG